RNAcentral lists this ribosomal RNA (255 nucleotides) under uncultured soil bacterium. Its description in RNAcentral is "partial 16S ribosomal RNA". It matches the Rfam family "Bacterial small subunit ribosomal RNA", at positions 26 to 285 of the family's 1533-position model. The record is from RNAcentral.
AGGACGAACGCUGGCGGCGUGCUUAACACAUGCAAGUCGAGCGGUAAGGUCUUUCGGGGUACACGAGCGGCGAACGGGUGAGUAACACGUGGGUGAUCUGCCCUGCACUCUGGGAUAAGCCUGGGAAACUGGGUCUAAUACCGGAUAUGACCUGCUCUCGCAUGGGGGUGGGUGGAAAGAUUUAUCGGUGCAGGAUGGGCCCGCGGCCUAUCAGCUUGUUGGUGGGGUAAUGGCCUACCAAGGCGACGACGGGUA